UGGAGGUACAGCCCACGGAUA
Molecule: small RNA, 21 nt
Filed under: Brassica napus (rape)
Lineage: Eukaryota; Viridiplantae; Streptophyta; Magnoliopsida; Brassicales; Brassicaceae
Description: PsRNA_52
Source: RNAcentral